UAUCGACAAAUAGAAACAUGACGGAGAGUAAGACAGUGGAACCCAUUUCAAAAUGAAAACGUGACUCUUCUACAGACGAUUUAAUAUUUUCACCACCGGGAAUGGUAAAGGUCGAAACCGAUCUGUUAAAAUCAAUAAAUGACAAACUGGGUACACUUGAACUAGUCAGUAAGGAUAUAAAAGAGUUGAAGGCAAGCCUCAAGAUGAGUGACGAAAAAGCUGCGACAUUGGAGAAAGACACAAACAAGCUAAAAGGGACAGUCAAUAAGAUUGAAACCGAAGUUAAUGAACUUAAAAAGUAGAACAUCAUUCUGACAGAAGCCUUAAUUGACAUACAGACUAGAUCCAUGAGGGAAUUUGGUACUUACAAGAAUCUAAGAGAAAUAAGGAGAAGUUCCUGAAUCUGUAGUUAGUGAGUUCCACCUUACAGCGCUUCAGAUCACACGCGAAGCUAUCGAUCAAAUCCAUCUCGAACGUGUACACCGCUUCGGACAGAGGAAAAAAGAGCUUCUGGAUAUCAGGACAGCGAUCACUCACCUCGGAUUAGACAAAGACUCACAGGAUGUACUUCGAACACCCGACAAGGCCACAUCCCCGUCAUUGGCAAGAGAAAGAGACGCAGGUACUGAGGACACAGAGCGGAGUGCCUCGUAAGGUUUCGUAGACGUCGAGCGGGAAAGCUGCCAUUAGCGUCAGUGUUACUUGCCAACGUACAAUCAUUGGACAAUAAAUUAGACGAGGUACGAUCACGAAUAUCCUACCAAGGGGACAUCAGAAACUGUAACAUCUUAUGUUUCACAGAAUCGUGGCUGAAUGAUGACAUGGAUAUUCAGCUAGUGGGAUAUACGCUGCACCGGCAGGAUAGAACACCACACUCAGGUUGAAGUUCACAGUGGAAGAGAUGCAGGGGUCCAUUGUGACCAUGGAGGAGGACACUGACACUGCAGAGUACCAGAAAAGACAGAAACCGAAUAAGUGUAAAGGUACAUGUCAAUGACUAUUUUCUUUGUCUCCACUGUACACAAUGCGAGUCUGGGCUGUUACCUCUAUAGGACAGCACGUUAUCUUGGUUGUUUAUUAAUGUAACAGCAAUGACAGUGAAAGUCAACUCAAAAACAUGUAUUGUUAUGUUUGGGGCAACGACUAAAAUACAUUACAUUAAUACAUUGUAUUAUUACUUUUUGAUAGUAUUCAUAAAUUAUUGUAGCUGCAUCGGUCUUGAAUUUGAAUAACAUUGACGUUUGCUUAUGUAAUAUCUGUUUUUUCUGAAAUCAUUUAUGUAAAAAAUAAUGACACAUUUUCUUCCCUAAACCAGAUAAGUUGUGAAUUAAA
Molecule: long non-coding RNA, 1332 nt
Organism: Oncorhynchus nerka (sockeye salmon)
Lineage: Eukaryota; Metazoa; Chordata; Actinopteri; Salmoniformes; Salmonidae
Exons: 3
Source: RefSeq, a predicted model, not a curated record